AGAGAGAGAAGGAGGGAUAGAGAGAGGGAGAGGGAUAGAGAAAGAAGGAGGAGAUUUAAAGAAGAGUGAAAGAGUGAAAAAUAGUGAGAGAGCGAGAGACAGAGAGAGAGCGAGUCCUCUAGGUAUCCUCUAGCUGUCCUCUAGGUAUCCUCUAGGUAUCCUCUAGCUGUCCUCUAGGUAUCCUCUAGCUGUCCUCUAGGUAUCCUCUAGGUAUCCUCUAGGUGUCCUCUACUCUAGGUGUUCUCUAGGUAUCCUUUAGCUGUCCUCUAGGUAUCCUUUAGCUGUCCUCUAGGUAUCCUCUAGGUAUCCUCUAGGUGUCCUCUACUCUAGGUGUUCUCUAGGUAUCCUUUAGGUGUUCUCUAGGUAUCCUCUAGCUGUCCUCUAGGUAUCCUCUAGCUGUCCUCUAGGUAUCCUCUAGGUAUCCUCUAGGUGUCCUCUAGGUAUCCUCUAGGUAUCCUCUAGCUGUCCUCUAGGUAUCCUCUAGGUAUCCUCUAGGUGUCCUCUAGCUAUCCUCUAGGUACUUUCCCCAGCCCAGCUCUCUUUCAUCAGUGCAGAUCAAGGAAAGGAGUUGAAUCAGAAGAAGAGACAAAACGGGUGUGUCUCAAAUGUAACCCUUUUCACUUCAUAGUGCCCUACUUUUGACCCCCGAACUUUAACCUUGGUCAAAAGUUGUGCACUAUGAAUAAGGUCCCAUUUGGAACGCAGACAAUACUGUAUGUCUAGGCUAUUGACACGCACCUAGAGGGGGAUUGACAUAUAGAUAAUUGAAGAGGUUCAUCCACAGGAGGAUAAAACAGAGUGGUACAGGAGGAUAAAACAGAGCGGUACAGGAGGAUAAAACAGAGCGGUACAGGAGGAUAAAACAGAGCGGUACAGGGGGAUAAAACAGAGCGGUACAGGAGGAUAAAACAGAGCGGUACAGGAGGAUAAAACAGAGCGGUACAGGAGGAUAAAACAAGGGUACAGGAGGAUAAAACAGAGCGGUACAGGAGGAUAAAACAGCGGUAGAGGAGGAUAAAACAGAGCAGUACAGGAGGAUAAAACAGAGCGGUACAGGAGGAUAAAACAGAGCAGUACAGGAGGAUAAAACAAGGGUACAGGAGGAUAAAACAGAGCUGUACAGGAGGAAAGAGAAGAACGGGGGAUUUUACACAGAAAGAAAGAGGAUGAAGAGAGGACAGGAAUUCAGUUUCGAAGGUUUCUCAUAACACAACUGAAAAGGGAAGAAGUUAUUUACUCCACUUCAAAUAUGAACCAGUUUCCUUCCAAUGCAUGAUCACAUGGGGGUGUGGCCCAAUUGUCACACUAUUCACUAUAUAGUGCACUCAUUUUGAACAGGGCCCAUUUGGGCUCUGGUCAAAAGUAGUGUACUAUAUAGGGAAUGGGGUGCCAUUUCGGACUCACCC
Molecule: long non-coding RNA, 1406 nt
Filed under: Salmo salar (Atlantic salmon)
Lineage: Eukaryota; Metazoa; Chordata; Actinopteri; Salmoniformes; Salmonidae
Description: lncRNA (ENSSSAG00000088778.1)
Source: RNAcentral